Molecule: transfer RNA, 68 nt
Filed under: Marmota monax (woodchuck)
Lineage: Eukaryota; Metazoa; Chordata; Mammalia; Rodentia; Sciuridae
Description: tRNA.Ile
Source: RNAcentral
GGAUUGUGGCUCAGCGGUAGAGUACUUGCCUAAUGAGUGCGAGGCCCUGGGUUCGAUCCUCAGCACCA